GGAGCUUGCUCUUCUUGGAUGAGUUGCGAACGGGUGAGUAACGCGUAGGUAACCUGCCUUGUAGCGGGGGAUAACUAUUGGAAACGAUAGCUAAUACCGCAUAACAAUGGAUGACACAUGUCAUUUAUUUGAAAGGGGCAAUUGCUCCACUACAAGAUGGACCUGCGUUGUAUUAGCUAGUAGGUGAGGUAACGGCUCACCUAGGCGACGAUACAUAGCCGACCUGAGAGGGUGAUCGGCCACACUGGGACUGAGACACGGCCCAGACUCCUACGGGAGGCAGCAGUAGGGAAUCUUCGGCAAUGGGGGCAACCCUGACCGAGCAACGCCGCGUGAGUGAAGAAGGUUUUCGGAUCGUAAAGCUCUGUUGUAAGUCAAGAACGAGUGUGAGAGUGGAAAGUUCACACUGUGACGGUAGCUUACCAGAAAGGGACGGCUAACUACGUGCCAGCAGCCGCGGUAAUACGUAGGUCCCGAGCGUUGUCCGGAUUUAUUGGGCGUAAAGCGAGCGCAGGCGGUUUGAUAAGUCUGAAGUUAAAGGCUGUGGCUCAACCAUAGUUCGCUUUGGAAACUGUCAAACUUGAGUGCAGAAGGGGAGAGUGGAAUUCCAUGUGUAGCGGUGAAAUGCGUAGAUAUAUGGAGGAACACCGGUGGCGAAAGCGGCUCUCUGGUCUGUAACUGACGCUGAGGCUCGAAAGCGUGGGGAGCGAACAGGAUUAGAUACCCUGGUAGUCCACGCCGUAAACGAUGAGUGCU
Molecule: ribosomal RNA, 756 nt
Filed under: Streptococcus sp. HFH0047
Lineage: Bacteria; Bacillati; Bacillota; Bacilli; Lactobacillales; Streptococcaceae
Description: bacterial SSU rRNA
Rfam family: Bacterial small subunit ribosomal RNA
Source: RNAcentral